GCGUAAAGAGCUCGUAGGUGGUUUGUCGCGUUGUUCGUGAAAUCUCACGGCUUAACUGUGAGCGUGCGGGCGAUACGGGCAGACUUGAGUACUGCAGGGGAGACUGGAAUUCCUGGUGUAGCGGUGGAAUGCGCAGAUAUCAGGAGGAACACCGGUGGCGAAGGCGGGUCUCUGGGCAGCAACUGACGCUGAGGAGCGAAAGCGUGGGGAGCGAACAGGAUUAGAUACCCUGGUAGUCCACGCCGUAAACGGUGGGUACUAGGUGUGGGUUUCCUUCCUUGGGAUCCGUGCCGUAGCUAACGCAUUAAGUACCCCGCCUGGGGAGUACGGCCGCAAGGCUAAAACUCAAAGAAAUUGACGGGGGCCCGCACAAGCGGCGGAGCAUGUGGAUUAAUUCGAUGCAACGCGAAGAACCUUACCUGGGUUUGACAUGCACAGGACGCCGGCAGAGAUGUCGGUUCCCUUGUGGCCUGUGUGCAGGUGGUGCAUGGCUGUCGUCAGCUCGUGUCGUGAGAUGUUGGGUUAAGUCCCGCAACGAGCGCAACCCUUGUCUCAUGUUGCCAGCGGGUAAUGCCGGGGACUCGUGAGAGACUGCCGGGGUCAACUCGGAGGAAGGUGGGGAUGACGUCAAGUCAUCAUGCCCCUUAUGUCCAGGGCUUCACACAUGCUACAAUGGCCGGUACAAAGGGCUGCGAUGCCGCGAGGCUAAGCGAAUCCUUUUAAAGCCGGUCUCAGUUCGGAUCGGGGUCUGCAACUCGACCCCGUGAAGUCGGAGUCGCUAGUAAU
Molecule: ribosomal RNA, 786 nt
Filed under: uncultured bacterium
Lineage: Bacteria
Description: bacterial SSU rRNA
Rfam family: Bacterial small subunit ribosomal RNA
Source: RNAcentral